This 483-nucleotide ribosomal RNA is filed under the name uncultured bacterium. RNAcentral describes it as "partial 16S ribosomal RNA". It matches the Rfam family "Bacterial small subunit ribosomal RNA", at positions 30 to 507 of the family's 1533-position model. The record is from RNAcentral.
UUGAACGCUGGCGGCAGGCCUAACACAUGCAAGUCGAGCGGAUGAAGGGAGCUUGCUCCUGGAUUCAGCAGCGGACGGGUGAGUAAUGCCUAGGAAUCUGCCUGGUAGUGGGGGAUAACGUCCGGAAACGGGCGCUAAUACCGCAUACGUCCUGAGGGAGAAAGUGGGGGAUCUUCGGACCUCACGCUAUCAGAUGAGCCUAGGUCGGAUUAGCUAGUUGGUGGGGUAAAGGCCUACCAAGGCGACGAUCCGUAACUGGUCUGAGAGGAUGAUCAGUCACACUGGAACUGAGACACGGUCCAGACUCCUACGGGAGGCAGCAGUGGGGAAUAUUGGACAAAGGGCGAAAGCCUGAUCCAGCCAUGCCGCGUGUGUGAAGAAGGUCUUCGGAUUGUAAAGCACUUUAAGUUGGGAGGAAGGGCAGUAAGUUAAUACCUUGCUGUUUUGACGUUACCAACAGAAUAAGCACCGGCUAACUUCGUG